GACGAACGCUGGCGGCGUGCCUAACACAUGCAAGUCGAACGGAAAGGCCCUGCUUUUGUGGGGUGCUCGAGUUGCGAACGGGUGAGUAACACGUGAGUAACCUGCCCUUGACUUUGGGAUAACUUCAGGAAACUGGGGCUAAUACCGGAUAGGAGCUCCUGCUGCAUGGUGGGGGUUGGAAAGUUUCGGCGGUUGGGGAUGGACUCGCGGCUUAUCAGCUUGUUGGUGGGGUAGUGUCUUACCAAGGCUUUGACGGGUAGCCGGCCUGAGAGGGUGACCGGCCACAUUGGGACUGGGAUACGGCCCAGACUACUACGGGAGGCAGCAGUGGAGAAUAUUGCACAAUGGGCGGAAGCCUGAUGCAGCAACGCCGCGUGCGGGAUGACGGCCUUCGGGUUGUAAACCGAUUUCGCCUGUGACGAAGCGUGAGUGACGGUAAUGGGUAAAGAAGCACCGGCUAACUACGUG
This 468-nucleotide ribosomal RNA is filed under the name uncultured bacterium. Its description in RNAcentral is "partial 16S ribosomal RNA". It matches the Rfam family "Bacterial small subunit ribosomal RNA", at positions 28 to 507 of the family's 1533-position model. The record is from RNAcentral.